GACGAACGCUGGCGGCGUGCUUAACACAUGCAAGUCGAACGGAAAGGCCCUGCUUUUGUGGGGUGCUCGAGUGGCGAACGGGUGAGUAACACGUGAGUAACCUGCCCUUGACUUUGGGAUAACUUCAGGAAACUGGGGCUAAUACCGGAUAGGAGCUCCUGCUGCAUGGUGGGGGUUGGAAAGUUUCGGCGGUUGGGGAUGGACUCGCGGCUUAUCAGCUUGUUGGUGGGGUAGUGGCUUACCAAGGCUUUGACGGGUAGCCGGCCUGAGAGGGUGGCCGGGCACAUUGGGCCUGCGAUACGGAGCAGACUCCUACGGGAGGCAGCAGUGGGGAAUAUUGCACAAUGGGGGGAAGCCUGAUGCAGCAACGCCGCGUGCGGGAUGACGGCCUUCGGGUUGUAAACCGCUUUCGCCUGUGACGAAGCGUGAGUGACGGUAAUGGGUAAAGAAGCACCGGCUAACUACGUG
Molecule: ribosomal RNA, 468 nt
Filed under: uncultured bacterium
Lineage: Bacteria
Description: partial 16S ribosomal RNA
Rfam family: Bacterial small subunit ribosomal RNA
Source: RNAcentral